AUCGUAAUGGAUGCUGCUUGAUUUUGACUGCUUGACGCUAGAUGGCGUUUGGUACAACCAAAGACAAUAAUAGUCGUUAUUAAUUCUGACCUCACCUUUUCCAUCGAAAAAAAUUAGGGCUUGAAGUAAUUUUUCGAAAUAUUUCGAAUUUUCUGAUUGGUUGAAAGUCAAAAAGUCGAAAAAGUAUUUAUUUUAGAACAUACAGAUGUGUUCA
RNAcentral lists this long non-coding RNA (214 nucleotides) under Drosophila guanche. Lineage: Eukaryota; Metazoa; Arthropoda; Insecta; Diptera; Drosophilidae. The record is from RNAcentral.